This 558-nucleotide ribosomal RNA is filed under the name uncultured Pelagibacterales bacterium. RNAcentral's name for it is "bacterial SSU rRNA". It matches the Rfam family "Bacterial small subunit ribosomal RNA", at positions 90 to 683 of the family's 1533-position model. The record is from RNAcentral. Lineage: Bacteria; Pseudomonadati; Pseudomonadota; Alphaproteobacteria; Candidatus Pelagibacterales.
ACUGAGUGGCAAACGGGUGAGUAUAAUGUGGGAAUCUGCCUUUUGGUUUGGAAUAACACGGGGAAACUUGUGCUAAUACCGAAUAAGCCCUUACGGGGAAAGUUUUAAUGCCAAAAGAUGAGCCCGCACUUGAUUAGCUAGUUGGUAAGGUAAAAGCUUACCAAGGCAACGAUCAAUAGCUGUUCUUAGAGGAAGACCAGCCACAUUGGGACUGAGACACGGCCCAGACUCCUACGGGAGGCAGCAGUGGGGAAUCUUGCACAAUGGGGGAAACCCUGAUGCAGCGAUGCCGCGUGAGUGAAGAAGGCCUUUGGGUUGUAAAACUCUUUCGUCGGGGAAGAAAAUGACUGUACCCGAAUAAGAAGGUCCGGCUAACUUCGUGCCAGCAGCCGCGGUAAUACGAAGGGACCUAGCGUAGUUCGGAAUUACUGGGCUUAAAGAGCUCGUAGGUGGUUAAAAAAGUUGAUGGUGAAAUCCCAAGGCUCAACCUUGGAACUGCCAUCAAAACUUUUUAGCUAGAGUGUGAUAGAGGUAAGUGGAAUUUCUAGUGUAGAGGUG